This is a long non-coding RNA of Antechinus flavipes (yellow-footed antechinus), 3856 nucleotides long. RefSeq lists it as uncharacterized. The transcript has 2 exons. The record is from RefSeq and is a predicted model, not a curated record. NCBI's taxonomy places the organism in Eukaryota, Metazoa, Chordata, Mammalia, Dasyuromorphia, Dasyuridae.
UAUGUAAUUUAAAAUUCUACUGGUGCUAUUCAUAGCUAUGAAUGAUGAAAUGCCAUUAUCUGAAAACCCAAAAGGCAGGUUCCCUAGAAUGAAGGAAAGAUAUGUGAUGGGUAGAAGAAAGGCAUAGCAUAAUUGCAACAAUGACCUGCAAGAAAAUGUAGUUUCACAGACAUAAUCAAAAACAUGUUAUUGGAAAGAGAAGCAGGGAAAAAAUGCGUCAAAUCAAAAACAUAACCUCUGAAUGGCACAUUGUCAUUGUUAUCUGAAAUGUGAACAUUAAAAGUAUCUAGCACAUUAGCUAUGAAUUAAUGGAAGGUUUAGUGGGAAUAGAGGGACAAGCAUCAGCAAACUUAGAAAACAUAGGAUAGUUAUAACUAGUAAAUGCUAAUCUAUGCUCCUAAAAGGCAUACCCAUAAUUAUCUGAUCCUAAGACUGUUGAAAUAUUGAAAAUAACAAAAGUUGAUAGAUUAUGAAUCACAGAAGUGACAUUUAUUUAAAUUGAAACUUACCUGUCACUUUCGAAAGCAUCUUUAGACUUUCUUUUCCCUUUCUUCCAAAAGGGACCACAUGUCUUCAGCAUCCUUGACCUUCACUUAACAUAGUUUAGAACAUUAUAUCUGUCACUCAUUAAAGCAGUGGGGAAUAAAGGAUUAUGGAUGAAAGGGAGUAUUGAAUUAUACUGUCUAGUCAUAAGUAGUCCCUUUGAUUUGCUUGGCUUCUUGUAAUGUUAAUGAUCCAUUCAGAAAUAUAACAUGUCAGGGUUGAAAAGGAAUCUUAAGAGAUCUAGUCCAGCUCUUAAUUUUAAAAAUAAGGAGAUAAAUCUAGAAAAAAAUGAUUUGUCUAAAGACUUAGAACUAGGAAGUAGGUGAUCUAUGACUUAACUGAAAGAUAUUUGACUCAAAGCUCAGGAUGCUCCUUCCAUUCACUCAUUUGAUAAACAUAUACUAUUUACUACGUUUUUUAGGAAAUUGAAAGAAAUAAGACACAAUCUCCUGCUUUCAAGUUUACGGUCUAGUGAGUAAGAUAAGACAUUUACACAGGUAAUUGUAAAUUUCAUUCAAUAAGCAUUCUAUCUGGUAUAUAGAACGCUACCUUAGGUGCAGGGGAGAUAGAUUUUACAUAAGACAUUAUCCCUGCCUCAUGGAGUUUACACUUUAGUAAAGGGACCUGAGCUAUACAAUAUUUCAUGAUAAAUGCUUCAGUGUCAGAACACAACAUUAGAUGUACUACAAGAUUGGGAGGGGGGUCAGAGAAAGUCAUUACUAACUUACUGGUUUUACGGUAUUUAAUUUGGUUUACUUUGUUGUCACCUAACUAUGACAGCAUGGUUAAGUACUAAAAGAGAGGCAACACACACACCUUUACUGCUAUCAUGCAAUGUUUAUAUGUAUUUUCUUUAUUGGGUAGCUAGUUCAAGGAAUAUUACCAUUUUACAAAUGAGGAAAUAAGCUCAAAGAAGUAAAACAAAUGAUACGGGGCUAGAGUUGUUGUCAGACCCAAAGGCAGGAUCUAGUGCCCUUUCUUCUUUCUCACUCUGUCUUAUAAACAGUGCAUAAAAUAUUAUGGGAGAUCUGGGGAGUUAGAGUCAGGGACACUUCAGAGAUUUAUUCUACAUAUUGGGGCAGGUUUUUCAUUUGGUAAUUUUCUAAUUACUUUGUCUUCCUCUUCUAUAAUAUAUUUUUCUUUUCUUUUUUUUAAAAUAUAUUUUUCUUAUAAGAAAUUUAUAUGAUUUAAAUGUUAACCUCAAUCAUUUUAAAUAAGUGGGUGUAAUAUAUAUGGACCGAUUUGGCCUUUUUAUUCUGGAAGGAAUUUUCUUUUAAAGUCUCACUACAGAUGUACUUCAUUUUAUAUAAGCCUAGUACAUCAAUAUCUAUCUAUAUAUCUAUAUCUAUAUCUAUAGCUAUAGCUAUCUAUCUGUAUGUGUAUACACACACACACACACACAUAUAUACAUAUAUAUAUCUCCAACUCUACUCUAUCCCCUAUGUUCCAUUCUCACAUUAUCAAUGCCUUUAAAUCUUGAAAUGCAUGUCCCAUAGGUACCUCAAACUCAGUGUAUCUAAUAUAGAACUCAUUAUCUUUCCCCCCUAAACCCUUCCAUCUUUCCAAUUUUACUGUUACCAUUUAGGAUACUACUAUCCAUGAUUAAAAUGUCUUGUCAAUCUUUAUUCUUCUCUCUCCUCCCACGUAUUCAAUCUGCUAUCAAGUACACUUUCAUAUAACUCCCUUAUGUAUCAUAUCUUUCUACUCACAUAGCCACCACUUUAAUAUAAAUCCUUCUUUAUCCCUCAUCUCUAGAUUAUUGAAGCAGAUAUUCCUGCCAAGUCUCUUCCCAUUCUAAUCCAUCCUACAUCCAGCUUCCAAAAUGAUUUUCCUAAAGGACAGAUUUGACCAUGUUUCUCUUACUCAAUAAACAUGAACAGUUUCCCAUGAUCUCCAGAAUCAAAUAUUUUAAAAAAGCAACACUGAUAUUUAAAGCCCUUCACCACCUGGAUCCUUCUGGUUUAUUCCACUCUAUAAACUAUACAAAAAACUAAUAAUUUUUUUGCUGUAUUUUCAACACUAUGCUAGAUUUUUUUUAAUUAGCUAUCUCUCAUGCUUGGAAUGUACUUCCUCAUCUCAGCUUUCUGGCUUCCUUCAAGACUCAGCUCACCUUCCACCUUAUGCUGGAGAUCCUUGCCAGUCCCUCUUCACUAUUAAUACCCUCAUUGCACUGUUUAGACCUUCCCUUUGAGAGAUUACCCCUAUAUAUCUUACAUGCUUUUGUUUAUUUGUUAUUUGUUUAUUGUAUUUUCCAUUAGAAUAUGAAUUCCUUGAGUUGAGGGACCACUUUUUUUGUAUCUCUAGUACUUAACUUGACACAUAGUGAUUAAGAAAUGCUUGUUGACCAUCAAUAUGCUUUUCUAAUACAGAUAAAUUAGGAGCUAUCUUCUUUUAAUGAAAGAAUUUACACACCAACAAGUGUUCUCUCCCUUCUCAAAUAUUCUUAAAAGCCCUUUGUUGGAAUCUCUUUUGUCACCUUAACCCUCUAUUUGGUAUUAUAGUAGCCUGAAUGGUCCUAUUACUCCAAACCUAUUUUCUUGUAAUGUAGUCCCUUAAGGAAAGGAGCUGACAUUUUAUUUUCCUUGUAUUCCUAAUAAGGGCAGGAACCUUGCAUGUAACACAUGUUUAAUAAUUUUCAAAAAUUGACUUACUCAGUUUAGAAAAUAGCAGUAUAUAAAGGAAAGAACCCUGCAUUAGAAGAUAGAGCACCUGGGUUCUAAUCUCAGUUCUGAUGCUUAAUAGUUGUGCAAAUCUUUUUACUUCUUUGACCAUUUCUUCAUUGGAAUGUAAUUUCAAUUUCAAAAUCCUUUGGUAUAUGACUCUAUCCUUAUUGAUGGAGAUCAGUGAUUUGUGCCUGCAUGAGGGAAAGAGUACAGUUGGUGACAAUGAAAUAACUCUACAUUUUCCUUUCAGUCUUUUUUUUGAGCUUCUUUCCAGUUCCUGAGUCUCUUUGAGCUGUGGGCAUUUGUCUACAAGAGAAGAUGGAAGAGGUCAACCUCAGUUAAGGUUGCUGAAGGAAGAGAUUCAGGGAAGACAUAUCAGAAGCCGACAAUCAUUUUCAUAUUCUCAUUCCCAUCCGGUUAUGCUAAAAACUUCAGGGAAUUUUGCCUAAUAUGCCUGAGCCUUCCUUUGUUCAAACAACAGAAUCACCAGCGGAAGGAAAUAUAAUUCUUACAAGAGGAAAAUCCAAGUGCCUUGUUCAUCAAAAUUCCCAGAACAACUUUGUCUUCUUUAGUCAGAGGAUUAUUCACUGUCAGAGCUAAAAAAGAAAUAUUACUAAAGGAACAUUUAAAAUAAACUUUUUAUAAUCCUU